RNAcentral lists this ribosomal RNA (253 nucleotides) under uncultured bacterium. RNAcentral describes it as "partial 16S ribosomal RNA". It matches the Rfam family "Bacterial small subunit ribosomal RNA", at positions 524 to 776 of the family's 1533-position model. The record is from RNAcentral.
UACGUAGGGUCCAAGCGUUAAUCGGAAUUACUGGGCGUAAAGCGUGCGCAGGCGGUUUUGUAAGUCUGUCGUGAAAGCCCCGGGCUCAACCUGGGAAUUGCGAUGGAGACUGCAAGGCUUGAAUCUGGCAGAGGGGGGUAGAAUUCCACGUGUAGCAGUGAAAUGCGUAGAGAUGUGGAGGAACACCGAUGGCGAAGGCAGCCCCCUGGGUCAAGAUUGACGCUCAUGCACGAAAGCGUGGGGAGCAAACAGG